This 312-nucleotide long non-coding RNA is filed under the name Bos taurus (domestic cattle). RNAcentral's name for it is "long non-coding RNA NONBTAT009056". The record is from RNAcentral. Lineage: Eukaryota; Metazoa; Chordata; Mammalia; Artiodactyla; Bovidae.
GUAGGUCAUCUCUGUUUCAGUUAUUGUUAAUGUACACAGAAGGGAGCACUGCUUCAGUAGUGCUUCUCCAUGUGACUGCCUGAUGGCUUCUGCAGGAAUCUACAACCAUGCAACCAGUGUGUUUGUUUAGUGACCUGGAAUGGAGGCGUCUUCAUCUGCAGUGUAAUCUGAUCACUGUUUCCUGCCCCCAAGUCUGAGUCUGCUGCCUUAAUGUUACACACUUCACAAGCCAUGUAAAUUUUACUUGGUAGAGAAGGGAUAAGGGGGCUAGAUCUGUUGAUACUUUAUCAAAGAAGGGUGGUGUCCACCCUC